UGUAAAUAUGGGUAAUAAAAUUCAAUGUUUAAGAUAUUAAAAGAAAACACCGAUUAUUAAGCUAUUCACAUAAAAAGAGGUUAAAAAAAUUUUGAAGAGCUUAUCAGAAUUUCAACUCUUUAAUUUUUUGAAUUACAGAAUAAGUUUAAUUACUAAAUAAUUUACAUAAAAAAGUUUCUAUAAAAAAGAGAUUUUUGGGAUUUCAACCUUGAUUUCCUAUAUUAUUAGACAUACACUAACUAUUAAGAAAUGAAUAUAGUAUUAAGGCCAAUUUGCACACACAAAUGAUUUCAAUUUUAGUGUAAUAGAAAAUUAAAGGGACCACAAAGUAGAGUAGCAUGCACAUAUAUUUCUUAAUAGGCAUUAACAAGCACAUAGUAAGAGAGAGAAGAGGGGUGGGGGAUAUAUUCAAGUGGAGUGUCCACAAAUUAGUGGUGCACACGUCACACUGGUUCAUCUUUCUAUAUCCCCUACUCCACUAUAAGGGCCCCUAAGAUUGCCAUUAUCUCGUUUAUUGACUGAUAAAAUUGUUUGUUUUUGUUAGCCUGGACUAUGCUAGAUUCAUUGAUAACAUCACCACCACAAAUUUAAUGUAUGUUAGUAUUAUUAAUACAGGCACAUGAUGCCAUUUUCCACUUUAGAUGUCUUCAUUAUCAUUUUUGUUCCUAGUGCUACAAUAUGUUGGCUCCUAAACCAUCUCUAAAUUGUCAGUGGAUUUACAGACCAAUGAAUUCUUAUCAUCCAUCUAUUAAAUUGUCUCCUAUUAAUCAACCUGAAAAUGAAAGCAGCACAAAAUUUUUGUGUUGAUUUUAUGCUUGAGCAAGCCAAUCUUAAAUAGAUUCAUAAGAAUAUAACACACAGUUGGGCAUUGAAAUUAAUAAACAUAUAAGAUUGUAGGAGUAAAAAAUGCAAGAUAAUUAAUCGCCAUAUGAAUACAUGAAAUCCUAUGUUUAAAUGUUACAUGAGGAUAGAGCUUAAUCAGGCUUAUCAAGUAAUUAAAAGCAUAUACUCACUUGACAGCAAGGUUCAAGACCACGCCCUCUCAUUCCCCUACUUAAAAAAAAAUAAUUAUAUGAGGAUAAAAAGGAGGAAGUCAAUGCAAAAAUGCAAAAUAUAUAUGAAAAGUGAGAUAAAGAAGCUAGAAUGGCUUAAGAUAAGCAUAAUCCAAGGCGGCUAAGGGUUGUUGCAAAGACCAACUUCUGGUAGCCAUCUUAACUCUUAAGCGGGAAGCUGGUACACUGUUAGAAUAAUUUUUCAUUCCAAAGUUGAAGUCUUUUCUCCUAAAAAUAAAAAAUUAAAAAAAAAAUCUGAUUCCACCUUCAGUUUUCUUAGACAGAGUGACAAUUUAAUAGUUCCUUCUUAUUCCCUGCUUUAAAAGUUUUGUCCUCUUCUUCUUUUUUGGUUGCCUUUUACUACAUCCAUGGCCUUUACUAAAGUCAAGGCACAGUACCAUCCUUUCUUUCAAUUGAAUACAAGGAGAAGCAGAUCUAGUAGCUUCCUUCAAGUUAUUCCUUUUUAUCCAAUUAAGUUUUGAGCUAGCCCUUUAUAUUGAAAUUAUAUAUGUUCACAAUGAGAAUUAAAGUGGAAACUUUUGAGAUAAUCUUAAUUAAAAUAACAGAAUAAAAGAGCUCUAUUAUAUGAACAACUGAAGCAAGUGCAUGCAUAUAGUAACAGACAUCUUUUAUUGUUCACUUAAAAUUGUCAGAAGAUGGACCAAAUUAAUUACUAUCUUUGUGGUUCAAAAUAAAUAAAUAUAUAUUAGAAGCUGAUAUUAUAACAAGGGAGGCUGAUUAUGAAAGUUACAUCUACAGAUCGAUCUCUUACUUUGGUUAUUUCCUUAUAGUGGCUGACAUCAGGAGCAUUUGGUAUCUUAUCACUAGAUGAGAAUGCGUGCACCACAUGUAUGGUGAAGAUGCAGAAUGGUGUAUUUUAAAAUAGCAAAAGAUUACAAAAAAGUUUCUCAAUAAUGGAUACUUACUGAUAUAAAUACGAGUAACAUACUACAUGUCCAAGCACAACAAAAGUGGGUGGAUCAAGCUAUCAUUCUAAGAAAAAUCUGGGAAGACAGACAAAAGGAGAAAAAAAAAAAUGAAAAUGGUGCAAGAUGAAAUCAGAAAGGGUCCAUGGACUGAACAGGAAGACAUUCUCCUGAUCAACUUUGUGCACCUGUUUGGAGAUCGACGAUGGGAUUCUAUUGCUAAAGUUUCAGGUUUGAAGGUGGCGGGAGGCAAAUAAUAGGUAUGCUUAUCUUGGGAUGGGUGGCUUUGUAAAGGAGCUACCUUUAACCACCUGGUUAUGUUGUAGGUUUGAACAGAACUGGAAAGGGUUGCAGGUUGCGAUGGGUUAACUAUCUGCACCCUGGACUCAAAAGGGGGAAGAUGACACCCCAAGAAGAGAGACUUGUGUUGGAACUUCACGCCAAAUGGGGAAAUAGGUUUGAUAAAUUAUCAUAACUCUAGCUGUUUAUAACUCUUCCAUGUAUUUAUUGUAUAUUUCCUACAUGAUAGCAAAUUCUUUUUCCUUGCUAGAAUUUCCUGAUUGCAAUUUAUGUUCACAUAGCAUCUAAUGACCCAAAAUCAUAAUAAACCAUUUAGCAAUUGAAGUUUUCCUCUGCUGCACUAUAUCAAAAUUAAUUUUAAACGUAGCAAUCAUUUAAUUUUUCUUUCUGGGAAAGUUCCUUCAAUUAGUAUAUGGUACUUUAUCAUGUGCCAGAUGGUCAAGAAUUGCUCGCAAAUUACCUGGGCGAACAGAUAAUGAGAUAAAAAACUAUUGGAGGACUCAUAUGAGGAAGAAGGCUCAAGAAAGGAAGAGGGCUAUGUCACCAUCAUUGUCAUCUUCCGACAGCUCCGCAACAUCAACUAUUACUACACAGAAUUCAUCACCUUCCCUGGAGACUGGAGAAGCUAGCUUUUAUGAUACAGGGGGGCCUGAAUCAUCACCUUCAGGAGGAAAAAUUAGUAAGGCGGUGCAAGGAGGUGAAGAGGGGUACUCUAUCUCUAUGGAUGAUAUAUGGAAAGAUAUUGAAAACACUAUUGAACCAGUUUUUGAUGGGUUUAGUGAACAAGGUUGCAAUUUCUCUUGUCCUUCAAUUGCAUCUCCCUCAUGGGAGUAUUGCCCAGACACACUCUGGACGAUGGAUGAAGAGGAGGGUAAGAUGUUUCUUCCUUAUGAGUGCGGGACAGUGUUUUUAACAGGCUAAACAGAAAUUCUUUAUUUAUGUUUCUUCAUAGACGUCAAGUUUCUCUGAGGAAGCUCUAACUUGUAUAGCAUGGGUUUUCUCUAAGCUUUCUGAUGUGUAAUCAUCUUAUGCAUAACCUAUGUCCCUGUGUUUGUGUAAUUUCACUUUUCAGAGAGGAAGAGAGAGCCUUAACAAAUCUCCUAUAAGGAGAUUGUUAUGUUCCAUUAUGUAUAAUAGAACUUUUAAGUUUUAAUGUUGAAAUGAAGAUGGUGCAACAUUAAAAUCCCAAAAUCUUUUUUGAUCACACACGCAAACACAGAGAAUAUACAAACAUAGGCAUAAAGCCAUGAGAGACAACCACAGAAAAUAGUUAGCAGUUGAAUUUGUUCAAACAACAUUUUAAUGUUCUUUCUAUUAUCAAUGCAAACUCUUUUGUGAUCAGGCUCAUUGGAAACUAGACAUUGAAAACCUAAUGCAUUUGAUUUCCAUAUAGUUAAUAUUUCACCCAAAACCAGUUGAGUCCCACAUAAUCAUGCCAAACCACAUAAUCAUCUAGAAGUAAACUCGAACCAUACUAACUAGGAAAUAAGAUUCUUCUAUUUUCUAGUCUUUCUUAUGAUAUGCACAUUAGAAAGGAAGUUUUUCCUGACACGAUAUUUUAUUUCAUCAGUUUUGCAGAAAAACCAUGAGGAUCCCCAGAAAUUAAGCCUUCUUAGAAUUGAGUUAUGGGAACAUAGCUCCAAUUAUAACUUUGAAUAAAAUAUGUCAUUAGCUAUUGCUUAUUUUGAGGAAAUAAAGUAGAUGGAUUAAUAGUAGUGCGUUAAUCAGGAUAGACCCAUUUGUCAAGCUCAGAAUAAUUAAGCACAUUGUGGACCAAAUCAGAAGAGAUUCUACUUCGUUAGUGAAUGGU
Molecule: unclassified non-coding RNA, 4088 nt
Filed under: Hevea brasiliensis (rubber tree)
Lineage: Eukaryota; Viridiplantae; Streptophyta; Magnoliopsida; Malpighiales; Euphorbiaceae
Source: RNAcentral